UACGUAGGGUGCGAGCGUUAAUCGGAAUUACUGGGCGUAAAGCGUGCGCAGGCGGUUUUGUAAGCCAGAUGUGAAAGCCCCGGGCUUAACCUGGGAAUGGCAUUUGGGACUGCAAGGCUUGAGUGCGGCAGAGGAGACUGGAAUUCCUGGUGUGGCAGUGAAAUGCGUAGAUAUCAGGAGGAAUACCAAAGGCGAAGGCAGGACUCUGGACAGUUUCUGACGCUGAGGCACGAAGGCCAGGGUAGCGAACGGG
Molecule: ribosomal RNA, 253 nt
Filed under: uncultured bacterium
Lineage: Bacteria
Description: partial 16S ribosomal RNA
Rfam family: Bacterial small subunit ribosomal RNA
Source: RNAcentral